RNAcentral lists this ribosomal RNA (315 nucleotides) under uncultured eukaryote. RNAcentral describes it as "partial 18S ribosomal RNA". It matches the Rfam family "Eukaryotic small subunit ribosomal RNA", at positions 1470 to 1796 of the family's 1831-position model. The record is from RNAcentral.
CCCUUAGAUGUUCUGGGCUGCACGCGCGCUACACUGACGCACACAACAGGUGCCUGCUCCGAGAGGACUGGGUAAUCAUUUGAGUGUGCGUCGUGAUGGGGAUAGAAUAUUGUAAUUAUUACUCUUCAACGAGGAAUUCCUAGUAAGCGCCAGUCAGCAGCUUGCGCUGAUUACGUCCCUGCCCUUUGUACACACCGCCCGUCGCUCCUACCGAUGGGUGAUCCGGUGAAUGAUUCGGACUUCAGCGGCUCCCCUGGGGUGCGCCGGAGAAAGUUUUGUGAACCUUAUCACUUGGAGGAAGGAGAAGUCGUAACA